UCUGGAAAGGCGCGCGAUACAGGGUGACAGCCCCGUACACAAAAAUGCACAUGCUGUGAGCUCGAUGAGUAGGGCGGGACACGUGGUAUCCUGUCUGAAUAUGGGGGGACCAUCCUCCAAGGCUAAAUACUCCUGACUGACCGAUAGUGAACCAGUACCGUGAGGGAAAGGCGAAAAGAACCCCGGCGAGGGGAGUGAAAAAGAACCUGAAACCGUGUACGUACAAGCAGUGGGAGCACAGAGCAAUCUGUGUGACUGCGUACCUUUUGUAUAAUGGGUCAGCGACUUAUAUUCUGUAGCAAGGUUAACCGAAUAGGGGAGCCGAAGGGAAACCGAGUCUUAACUGGGCGUUAAGUUGCAGGGUAUAGACCCGAAACCCGGUGAUCUAGCCAUGGGCAGGUUGAAGGUUGGGUAACACUAACUGGAGGACCGAACCGACUAAUGUUGAAAAAUUAGCGGAUGACUUGUGGCUGGGGGUGAAAGGCCAAUCAAACCGGGAGAUAGCUGGUUCUCCCCGAAAGCUAUUUAGGUAGCGCCUCGUGAAUUCAUCUCCGGGGGUAGAGCACUGUUUCGGCAAGGGGGUCAUCCCGACUUACCAACCCGAUGCAAACUGCGAAUACCGGAGAAUGUUAUCACGGGAGACACACGGCGGGUGCUAACGUCCGUCGUGAAGAGGGAAACAACCCAGACCGCCAGCUAAGGUCCCAAAGUCAUGGUUAAGUGGGAAACGAUGUGGGAAGGCCCAGACAGCCAGGAUGUUGGCUUAGAAGCAGCCAUCAUUUAAAGAAAGCGUAAUAGCUCACUGGUCGAGUCGGCCUGCGCGGAAGAUGUAACGGGGCUAAACCAUGCACCGAAGCUGCGGCAGCGACACUAUGUGUUGUUGGGUAGGGGAGCGUUCUGUAAGCCUGUGAAGGUGUGCUGUGAGGCAUGCUGGAGGUAUCAGAAGUGCGAAUGCUGACAUAAGUAACGAUAAAGCGGGUGAAAAGCCCGCUCGCCGGAAGACCAAGGGUUCCUGUCCAACGUUAAUCGGGGCAGGGUGAGUCGACCCCUAAGGCGAGGCCGAAAGGCGUAGUCGAUGGGAAACAGGUUAAUAUUCCUGUACUUGGUGUUACUGCGAAGGGGGGACGGAGAAGGCUAUGUUGGCCGGGCGACGGUUGUCCCGGUUUAAGCGUGUAGGCUGGUUUUCCAGGCAAAUCCGGAAAAUCAAGGCUGAGGCGUGAUGACGAGGCACUACGGUGCUGAAGCAACAAAUGCCCUGCUUCCAGGAAAAGCCUCUAAGCAUCAGGUAACAUCAAAUCGUACCCCAAACCGACACAGGUGGUCAGGUAGAGAAUACCAAGGCGCUUGAGAGAACUCGGGUGAAGGAACUAGGCAAAAUGGUGCCGUAACUUCGGGAGAAGGCACGCUGAUAUGUAGGUGAAGCGACUUGCUCGUGGAGCUGAAAUCAGUCGAAGAUACCAGCUGGCUGCAACUGUUUAUUAAAAACACAGCACUGUGCAAACACGAAAGUGGACGUAUACGGUGUGACGCCUGCCCGGUGC
RNAcentral lists this ribosomal RNA (1541 nucleotides) under Escherichia coli. RNAcentral describes it as "partial 23S ribosomal RNA". It matches the Rfam family "Bacterial large subunit ribosomal RNA", at positions 341 to 1869 of the family's 2925-position model. The record is from RNAcentral. Lineage: Bacteria; Pseudomonadati; Pseudomonadota; Gammaproteobacteria; Enterobacterales; Enterobacteriaceae.